GACGAACGCUGGCGGCGUGCUUAACACAUGCAAGUCGAACGGUAAGGCCCUUCGGGGUACACGAGUGGCGAACGGGUGAGUAACACGUGGGUGAUCUGCCCUGCACUUCGGGAUAAGCCUGGGAAACUGGGUCUAAUACCGGAUAGGACCCUGGGAUGCAUGUCCUGGGGUGGAAAGCUUUUGCGGUGUGGGAUGGGCCCGCGGCCGAUCAGCUUGUUGGUGGGGUGAUGGCCUACCAAGGCGACGACGGGUAGCCGGCCUGAGAGGGUGAACGGCAACACUGGGACUGAGAUAGGGCCCAGACUCCUACGGGAGGCAGCAGUGGGGAAUAUUGAACAAUGGGCGCAAGCCUGAUGCAGCGACGCCGCGUGAGGGAUGACGGCCUUCGGGUUGUAAACCUCUUUCAGCACCGACGAAGCGCAAGUGACGGUAGGUGCAGAAGAAGGACCGGCCAACUACGUGCCAGCAGCCGCAGUAA
Molecule: ribosomal RNA, 478 nt
Filed under: uncultured bacterium
Lineage: Bacteria
Description: partial 16S ribosomal RNA
Rfam family: Bacterial small subunit ribosomal RNA
Source: RNAcentral